Molecule: small nucleolar RNA, 129 nt
Organism: Vicugna pacos (alpaca)
Lineage: Eukaryota; Metazoa; Chordata; Mammalia; Artiodactyla; Camelidae
Source: RefSeq, a predicted model, not a curated record
GUUGAGGUCUGUCCCGAUGGAGCGCUUUCCGUAGACCUGCAUCAUUGGAAACGCCCCAUUGAGUGACUGUGGUUUCCUUUACUCACAGAGCUGCAUGUUAGAUCUGUGGGAAAGAACUGCAAGACAGAG